GGCAAUGGACGGAAGUCUGACCGAGCAACGCCGCGUGAGCGAAGAAGGUUUUCGGAUCGUAAAGCUCUGUUGUAAGAGAAGAACGAGUGUGAGAGUGGAAAGUUCACACUGUGACGGUAUCUUACCAGAAAGGGACGGCUAACUACGUGCCAGCAGCCGCGGUAAUACGUAGGUCCCGAGCGUUGUCCGGAUUUAUUGGGCGUAAAGCGAGCGCAGGCGGUUAGAUAAGUCUGAAGUUAAAGGCUGUGGCUUAACCAUAGUACGCUUUGGAAACUGUUUAACUUGAGUGCAAGAGGGGAGAGUGGAAUUCCAUGUGUAGCGGUGAAAUGCGUAGAUAUAUGGAGGAACACCGGUGGCGAAAGCGGCUCUCUGGCUUGUAACUGACGCUGAGGCUCGAAAGCGUGGGGAGCAAACAGGAUUAGAUACCCUGGUAGUCCACGCCGUAAACGAUGAGUGCUAGGUGUGAGACCCUUUCCGGGGUUUAGUGCCGCAGCUAACGCAUUAAGCC
RNAcentral lists this ribosomal RNA (508 nucleotides) under Streptococcus sp. oral taxon 071. RNAcentral's name for it is "bacterial SSU rRNA". It matches the Rfam family "Bacterial small subunit ribosomal RNA", at positions 367 to 866 of the family's 1533-position model. Lineage: Bacteria; Bacillati; Bacillota; Bacilli; Lactobacillales; Streptococcaceae. The record is from RNAcentral.